CCUACGGGAGGCAGCAGUGAGGAAUAUUGCGCAAUGGGCGAAAGCCUGACGCAGCAACGCCGCGUGAGGGAUGAAGGCCUUCGGGUUGUAAACCUCUUUUCUGGGGAACGAGAUCAGGACGGUACCUCGGGAAUAAGUCUCGGCUAACUACGUGCCAGCAGCCGCGGUAAUACGUAGGUGGCUAGCGUUAUCCGGAUUCACUGGGCGUAAAGAGCGCGUAGGCGGUGUGCUAAGUUGGACGUGAAAGCCCCCGGCUUAACCGGGGGAGGGCGUCCAAUACUGGUGCACUUGAGGGUGGACGGGGAAAGCGGAAUUCCCGGUGUAGUGGUGAAAUGCGUAGAUAUCGGGAGGAACACCAGUGGCGAAGGCGGCUUCCUAGACCACUCCGGACGCUGAGGCGCGAAAGCGUGGGGAGCGAACGGGAUUAGAUCCCCCUGUAGU
RNAcentral lists this ribosomal RNA (441 nucleotides) under uncultured bacterium. RNAcentral describes it as "partial 16S ribosomal RNA". It matches the Rfam family "Bacterial small subunit ribosomal RNA", at positions 338 to 794 of the family's 1533-position model. The record is from RNAcentral.